Long non-coding RNA from Coffea eugenioides, 559 nucleotides. RefSeq lists it as uncharacterized. The transcript is spliced from 3 exons. Lineage: Eukaryota; Viridiplantae; Streptophyta; Magnoliopsida; Gentianales; Rubiaceae. The record is from RefSeq and is a predicted model, not a curated record.
AGAUUCGAUGUUCGGAUGCUAUUCAUUGACUUUUCGAAGGGUUUCCUGAGAUCAUGAGGUUGAUAAGCAAGUGAAUCAAGGUAACUAGACGUGCAGAAAUUUUCAAGUUUGUGGUUCCUGUUUCUGUAAGAAUUCAAUGCCCCUGAACUCCCAAAUACUGAGAUCGAAAAUGGUAUUUUGUUUUUGAAAUGCAGAAGGUAAUAGAUACAAUGGCAGUAUUUACAUGAUUUUUGGGUAUAUGGACCACAGCUUGACGGGACUUGCUGAUUGUCCUGGAUUGAGAUUUACAAUUCAACAUAUCAAUGUAUGUGACCUUGGACAAGGAGGAUUUACUCAUUAUAAUGAGCAUCCAUCACUUUUUUUUUGUCAACAAAGCAUCCAUCACUCAACUUGUUCUAAUAAUAUGUAUUUGUUGUGUUAUAUGAAGUAGCUGCUUACUGGUCUUCACUACUGUCAUCUCAAUAACGUGCAGAUAUCAAAGGCUCCAGUAUGCUCAUAGAUAUAAGGGAAACCUGAAGCUAGCAGAUUUUGGACUACCAUAAUCAUUCUCCAAUAACCA